CGGUUCUAUCUAGCUCAACUCUCGUGGUUCCAUACGAGUUAGCAUUAACUCCUCAAUGCUUCACAAGAAGCAUGCCAUGGGAAAAGUCCCCGGGCCUCAGACAGAGAAUGUCAGGACGUGAAGUCCCUCUUGUACGCAGUCAGAAGCCGACUCUCCGGUUUAGACAGGGUGCAAAAUUGCCAGACGUAGUUUAAAGUUAUGUUGAGAAACGCUGGGAUUGGAAGAGAGAGAAUCUUCUCGCUCUUCCUCUCUAUCUCGCUCACACAAUGGGGCUUACUCAGAAAGAACU
RNAcentral lists this RNase MRP RNA (289 nucleotides) under Anopheles dirus. RNAcentral describes it as "rNase MRP". It matches the Rfam family "RNase MRP". From Rfam's summary of the family: RNase MRP is an enzymatically active ribonucleoprotein with two distinct roles in eukaryotes. In mitochondria it plays a direct role in the initiation of mitochondrial DNA replication. In the nucleus it is involved in precursor rRNA processing, where it cleaves the internal transcribed spacer 1 between 18S and 5.8S rRNAs. The record is from RNAcentral. Lineage: Eukaryota; Metazoa; Arthropoda; Insecta; Diptera; Culicidae.